Molecule: unclassified non-coding RNA, 230 nt
Filed under: uncultured fungus
Lineage: Eukaryota; Fungi
Description: partial contains 18S rRNA, ITS1, 5.8S rRNA, ITS2 and 28S rRNA
Source: RNAcentral
AAGGAUCAUUAAUGUGAACGGAGUUUAUUCCAUUCUCUGAACACUUCUGCGUAUUGGUAGUUGUUGCUUCCACGGUUGCGCGGGCUCUUCCGUAGUCCGUAUGACCAACCGGUGAAGGUACGGUCCACCGUGGAAGGUUUAUCAAAAUUCAUUGUUGUCUGCUUCUGUCCGAAUGUAAGGUAAUGAAUAAUUCAACUUCAAAACUUUCAACAACGGAUCUCUUGGUUCUC